RNAcentral lists this ribosomal RNA (463 nucleotides) under uncultured bacterium. RNAcentral's name for it is "bacterial SSU rRNA". It matches the Rfam family "Bacterial small subunit ribosomal RNA", at positions 355 to 825 of the family's 1533-position model. The record is from RNAcentral.
UGGGGAAUAUUGCGCAAUGGCCGAAAGGCUGACGCAGCGACGCCGCGUGAAGGAUGAAGUUCGUUAGAAUGUAAACUUCUUUUGUAGGGGAUGAAUGUGCCGUUUUGCGGCAUUGACCGUACCCUGCGAAUAAGGAUCGGCUAACUACGUGCCAGCAGCCGCGGUAAUACGUAGGAUCCGAGCGUUGUCCGGAUUUACUGGGUGUAAAGGGCGUGUAGGUGGGUCUCUAAGUCGGUGGUGAAAGCCCGCAGCUCAACUGCGGAAUUGCCAUUGAUACUGGCUGUCUCGAGGUCGAGAGAGGUUGGUGGAAUUCCUAGUGUAGAGGUGAAAUUCGUAGAUAUUAGGAAGAACACCAGUGGCGAAGGCGGCCAACUGGCUCGAUACUGACGCUGAGGUGCGAAAGCGUGGGGAGCAAACAGGAUUAGAUACCCACGUAGUCCCUGAGCGGGCUGGCAAGGCGCAU